AAAAGUGCCUAUAAAUAGAUAGAUAUGAAUUCACAAUGUAGACGCAACAUUUCAACUGGCUUUCCACAACAAAGGAAGACUGAAGAGCGAGAACACUCGACCAUUUUAAAGCAGGAUUACCUCGAGCAGAAUUUGGCAUUCACACAAUCUCGGACGAUGAGAUGAAGGCAUAUAUAGAUCUACAUGGAAUUCCAAAUAUCAUUGGACCAGUACGAUUUAUAGGAACAUCUGUAACACGACUUGGUCCCUCACAACAAAAUGCUACAAGACAAGCAAUUAGGUUAGACAAGCAAUUAGGUUCCUUCAACAAACAUACAAUAUAAACGUCGGAGAUUAUAACUACUACCCACAGAAAUUAGAAGAACGUAACCACCAACAACUAUAACAAAUGUCAAAUAAAUUUACAAAACUUAAGCUCCAGAACAUCUUUUAUAUAUAUAUAUAUAUAUAUGUAUAUGUGUGUGUGUGUGUGUUAUCUUUUUAAAUACAAUAUGUAAAUGUUUGUAGUUAAAAUAAAAACAACCACAAUAUUGUACGUAUUUUCUGUAUCUACAGUUCUAAUAAAAUAAUGUUAUUUAUAAAUA
Spinacia oleracea (spinach) is the source of this 584-nucleotide long non-coding RNA. RefSeq lists it as uncharacterized. The record is from RefSeq and is a predicted model, not a curated record. The transcript is spliced from 2 exons. NCBI's taxonomy places the organism in Eukaryota, Viridiplantae, Streptophyta, Magnoliopsida, Caryophyllales, Amaranthaceae.